UCUAACCCACCAGGAGUUGAUGGCAAAGU
Molecule: non-coding RNA, 29 nt
Filed under: Mus musculus (house mouse)
Lineage: Eukaryota; Metazoa; Chordata; Mammalia; Rodentia; Muridae
Source: RNAcentral